UGGGGAAUUUUGGACAAUGGGGGAAACCCUGAUCCAGCCAUCCCGCGUGUGCGAUGAAGGCCUUCGGGUUGUAAAGCUCUUUUGGCAGGUAAGAAACGUCAUGGGUUAAUACCCCGUGAAACUGACGGUACCUGCAGAAUAAGCACCGGCUAACUACGUGCCAGCAGCCGCGGUAAUACGUAGGGUGCAAGCGUUAAUCGGAAUUACUGGGCGUAAAGCGUGCGCAGGCGGUUCGGAAAGAAAGAUGUGAAAUCCCAGAGCUCAACUUUGGAACUGCAUUUUUAACUGCCGGGCUAGAGUGUGUCAGAGGGAGGUGGAAUUCCGCGUGUAGCAGUGAAAUGCGUAGAUAUGCGGAGGAACACCGAUGGCGAAGGAAGAAUCAUGGAAUAACACUGACGCUCAUGCACGAAAGCGUGGGGGGCAAACAGG
RNAcentral lists this ribosomal RNA (429 nucleotides) under Acidobacteriota bacterium. RNAcentral describes it as "Acidobacteria bacterium partial 16S ribosomal RNA". It matches the Rfam family "Bacterial small subunit ribosomal RNA", at positions 355 to 776 of the family's 1533-position model. The record is from RNAcentral. Lineage: Bacteria; Pseudomonadati; Acidobacteriota.